UAACCGGAGGGGAGAGAAAGAUUCCGAACGGGCAACCCAAACUGGACCAGGGUGGUCAGACAGGAAUCAUUUUCCGCCUGCCCGAGCUGACUCAUGGCUGUUGAGCUGCACUCUUCCAAAUGGGCAAUGUCUGGCCACCAUUCUUCUGAGUGUGCUGAGAAAGCGAGGGUCUUCCUGACUGACCACCCAGUAAAAUCUGUGGAGCUUGAAGAAAGUGCUUCCAUUUUGGCUAUUCACAGGUACGAAGCAAGAAACAGGAGAGAGAGAGAGCGCACACAAGCAGUG
Long non-coding RNA from Zalophus californianus (California sea lion), 285 nucleotides. RefSeq lists it as uncharacterized. The record is from RefSeq and is a predicted model, not a curated record. The transcript is spliced from 3 exons. NCBI's taxonomy places the organism in Eukaryota, Metazoa, Chordata, Mammalia, Carnivora, Otariidae.